CCUACGGGAGGCAGCAGUGAGGAAUAUUGGUCAAUGGCCGUAAGGCUGAACCAGCCAAGUCGCGUGAAGGAAGACGGAUCUAUGGUUUGUAAACUUCUUUUAUAGGGGAAUAAAGGUCUCCACGUGUGGCUAUUUGCAUGUACCCUAUGAAUAAGCAUCGGCUAACUCCGUGCCAGCAGCCGCGGUAAUACGGAGGAUGCGAGCGUUAUCCGGAUUUAUUGGGUUUAAAGGGUGCGUAGGUUGUUUUUUAAGUCAGCGGUGAAAGUUUGUGGCUCAACCAUAAAAUUGCCGUUGAAACUGGAAGACUUGAGUGUGUUUGAGGUAGGCGGAAUGCGUGGUGUAGCGGUGAAAUGCAUAGAUAUCACGCAGAACUCCGAUUGCGAAGGCAGCUUACUAAGCCAUAACUGACACUGAAGCACGAAAGCGUGGGGAUCAAACAGGAUUAGAUACCCUAGUAGUC
RNAcentral lists this ribosomal RNA (460 nucleotides) under uncultured bacterium. RNAcentral describes it as "partial 16S ribosomal RNA". It matches the Rfam family "Bacterial small subunit ribosomal RNA", at positions 338 to 795 of the family's 1533-position model. The record is from RNAcentral.